This 72-nucleotide transfer RNA is filed under the name Rattus norvegicus (Norway rat). It matches the Rfam family "tRNA". Rfam says of the family: Transfer RNA (tRNA) molecules are approximately 80 nucleotides in length. Their secondary structure includes four short double-helical elements and three loops (D, anti-codon, and T loops). Further hydrogen bonds mediate the characteristic L-shaped molecular structure. tRNAs have two regions of fundamental functional importance: the anti-codon, which is responsible for specific mRNA codon recognition, and the 3' end, to which the tRNAs corresponding amino acid is attached (by aminoacyl-tRNA synthetases). tRNAs cope with the degeneracy of the genetic code in two manners: having more than one tRNA (with a specific anti-codon) for a particular amino acid; and 'wobble' base-pairing, i.e. permitting non-standard base-pairing at the 3rd anti-codon position. Lineage: Eukaryota; Metazoa; Chordata; Mammalia; Rodentia; Muridae. The record is from Rfam by way of RNAcentral.
GCCUGGAUAGUUCAACUGGUAGAGCAUCAGAUUUUAAUCUGAAGGUACGGGGUUCAAAUCCCUCUUUACCCA